This 582-nucleotide ribosomal RNA is filed under the name Botryosphaeria dothidea. RNAcentral's name for it is "eukaryotic LSU rRNA". The stretch from base 210 to 363 matches the Rfam family "5.8S ribosomal RNA". Lineage: Eukaryota; Fungi; Ascomycota; Dothideomycetes; Botryosphaeriales; Botryosphaeriaceae. The record is from RNAcentral.
UCCGUAGGUGAACCUGCGGAAGGAUCAUUACCGAGUUGAUUCGGGCUCCGGCCCGAUCCUCCCACCCUUUGUGUACCUACCUCUGUUGCUUUGGCGGGCCGCGGUUCUCCGCGGCCGCCCCCCUCCCCGGGGGGUGGCCAGCGCCCGCCAGAGGACCAUCAAACUCCAGUCAGUAAACGAUGCAGUCUGAAAAACAUUUAAUAAACUAAAACUUUCAACAACGGAUCUCUUGGUUCUGGCAUCGAUGAAGAACGCAGCGAAAUGCGAUAAGUAAUGUGAAUUGCAGAAUUCAGUGAAUCAUCGAGUCUUUGAACGCACAUUGCGCCCUUUGGUAUUCCGAAGGGCAUGCCUGUUCGAGCGUCAUUACAACCCUCAAGCUCUGCUUGGUAUUGGGCACCGUCCUUUGCGGGCGCGCCUCAAAGACCUCGGCGGUGGCGUCUUGCCUCAAGCGUAGUAGAACAUACAUCUCGCUUCGGAGCGCAGGGCGUCGCCCGCCGGACGAACCUUCUGAACUUUUCUCAAGGUUGACCUCGGAUCAGGUAGGGAUACCCGCUGAACUUAAGCAUAUCAAUAAGCGGAGGA